Molecule: ribosomal RNA, 301 nt
Filed under: uncultured bacterium
Lineage: Bacteria
Description: partial 16S ribosomal RNA
Rfam family: Bacterial small subunit ribosomal RNA
Source: RNAcentral
CAGCAGCCGCGGGAAUACGGAGGGUGCAAGCGUUAUCCGGAUUUACUGGGUUUAAAGGGUGCGUAGGCGGCUUUUUAAGUCAGUGGUAAAAGCCUAGUGCUCAACAUUAGAAUAGCCAUUGAAACUAAUAAGCUUGAGUCAAGGAGAGGUAAGCAGAAUUUACGGUGUAGCAGUGAAAUGCUUAGAGAUCAUAAGGAAUACCAAUAGCGAAGGCAGCUUACUGGCCUUGCACUGACGCUGAGGCACGAAAGCGUGGGGAGCAAACAGGAUUAGAUACCCCUGUAGUCCCUGUCUCUUAUAC